UGUACGGGACGGCGCAGUAUCCUAGUCAGAACAGCCAGCUCCCAGGAAGGGCCUAAAAAUCCUUUGAAGGGCAUAUCGAUGAAGUCCCUGGUGCCUGCUUUUUACGCCCAGUUUAGGGUGGGUGCUGGGGGUUAAGGAUCCCGGGCGCAUUCCAACGGCAUGGAAUAUCCGACCCGGUUUCCGUGGAGACCUGUUGUUGUGCGACGGCGGUUGCAUGCCGUUUGGCUGCCGAAGACCGCGUACGAAACAGGUAUGAACCUGCAUUGCGGUGCGCAGAAUCGUGUGCUGUGUGCAGCGUAGCCUGCCUUGCGUGGGUAAGCGGGGAGGGGGAGACAAGCAUCUCGGUCUGUGGCCACAGAUUGGAGUGCGAUUGCCCCGGAAACCUUACCUGCAAAAGAGGCUAAGAGUUGGAUUGGGCUGCGGUGGAAAACACCUAGGCUGUAAUGGGCAGACGGGGGAUUGCAGUGCGGACUCAGUGGCAAUCGGGUCGCCAUUUCCGGCAACGUUUGGCCGGUGGGAUCAAAGGGGAACCGCCCCUUCGGCAACGGGGGGUUCCUGCCGGGGAAAUCCAACCCGACCUAAGCCGCAAGAUUUAUCCCGCCUGCCGCCGUCUUAU
RNAcentral lists this small RNA (616 nucleotides) under human gut metagenome. The record is from RNAcentral. RNAcentral also lists the same sequence under 1 other name.